Molecule: long non-coding RNA, 1308 nt
Organism: Musa acuminata AAA Group (dessert banana)
Lineage: Eukaryota; Viridiplantae; Streptophyta; Magnoliopsida; Zingiberales; Musaceae
Exons: 4
Source: RefSeq, a predicted model, not a curated record
UCAGCGUAAUGCAUGGAUUUUAGGGCUGAUUUUGAGUUUUCUUCGAUCGAUUUCAGGUUGGUUCGAUGAUCGCGAAGACGGAGGAGGUAUGUGAGCUGCUUCCUCCAGUAUUGCCUUGUGGUUUGAGGGUGGGAGCUGACGGAACCAAUCAGAGGGACGAGGAGGGUGAUCAUUUGCCCCUGUAUGCCAACGAGGUCCUUCGCAUGUUGAUUUCGAUCUGGAACGCAUUGAUCCAUCGAAAAUCCAAAUGCAUAUUGUUUUGAAUCCGAGGCCUAUAAUGACGUGCGCGUACAUAAUAAUCUCUCGGUCCUUCGCGACCCGGCGACGCAACCGGGAAUCCAAAGACGCGUAGGAGGAGGAAUAGAGAGCGCGAUGUGUCUGCAGGUCGAUUUUGAAGAAUAUGCUGCAAAAGCUAAAACUUUACCUGUAAAUACUACUAACAAGAGCAAAUUGAUCCUGUAUGGGCUUUACUAGCAAGCAACUGUCGGACCUGUGAAUACUAGCUGACCUGGUAUAUUCAAUAUGAGGGAUAGAGCCAAAUGGGAAGCUUGGAAGGCUGUUGAAGGUUUACAAAAUCCACUUGACAAAUCUUAUAUAUAUAAAUAUUAAUAAAUAAAUAUAACUUGUUGGACAAAAUUUAUUUCUUAUUUAAUAUUAGUAAAAUUGACAGGGGAGGAAGCCAAAGGAGGAGGCUAUGAGUGACUACCUCACCAAGGUUAAACAGCUGCUCGAGGCAGCUGCUACUGUUGCUUAUGCUACUUUGUCAUACCUUGCUCUAUGUAGUACCAUGUCGUCCUCGAUAUCGAAGUAAAGAUCAUGCAGGACUAGGAUCCUAAAAGAAAGCAGGGCACCAUGACUCCUUUGUCAGAUCAUGUUAUAAUUCAUGCCUCAAAGGAGGAAGAGGAGUUACAUUCCAAAAGAAUUUGAAUGCUACAACCUUUGCAAAAGGAAUUAGGAUUACAUUUCUUCUUCAUAAGCUUUAGGAUUACAUUUCUUCUUCAUAAGCUUCCGGCAUGUAACAAGACAAAGUUCUUCUGAUUUAUGCACUUGAACUAGUCAUAGAUUAACAUGAAGGAAGAUUGGGAGUCCUUGGGCCCAUAUCUUAGUUUGUUCCAAUCUUCUCAGGAGUGUUAUUUGUUCUUAUCAUUUGUUUUGAAAACCGACGUGGUUACUCCCACAAAUUUUUACUGUUUUGUAGACUUGAUAUUAAUUAUUUGAAUUCGUAUGUAACUUCCAAAGCUGGAAUAGUAGACUCAGAUUGGUUGUUUAAAUUCAUUUAAAAUUCUGAAUAUGUAAUUUAGAUGUAAU